CGCAGGUGUCAGUAGGUGUGUGUGUGUGUGUGUGUGUCGGAGUGGCGAGAAGCGCCAUUUAUGAGGAACAGAGUGAGAGUUCACUCGUGUUGUUUGAGUGAGUUCGUUGGGCAGUUGAAAUAUUCAACUGUUGCACCGAACUUGUGUUUCUCUGUGUGCAAGAGAUCUUCAUGGGGCGAGUUUGAAGAGGCCUCCGUGACGGAGAUUGAGCAGGGGAGAAGCGAGACACGCGAGCGUACACGUGAAUUAUUAGUCACGUGACUGUUCCUGUUCGGUGCAGCGCUUCAUAAAAUGGAAGCCACAAUGGUGCGCUAACUCCAAAUGAACCACUGGACUUCUGAGGCGGAGCCGAGGGCGGCUCGGGAGGCGGAGCCGAGGGAGGCAAUGGCUUAGAAGGCUCAGAAGGCGGAGCUGAGGGAGGCUCAGGAGGUGGAGCUGAGGGAGGCUCUGGAGGC
Molecule: long non-coding RNA, 455 nt
Organism: Xyrauchen texanus (razorback sucker)
Lineage: Eukaryota; Metazoa; Chordata; Actinopteri; Cypriniformes; Catostomidae
Exons: 5
Source: RefSeq, a predicted model, not a curated record